This 240-nucleotide unclassified non-coding RNA is filed under the name soil metagenome. RNAcentral's name for it is "partial contains 5.8S ribosomal RNA, internal transcribed spacer 2, and large subunit ribosomal RNA". The record is from RNAcentral.
AACGAGGCCGACCUGCGGCUGAGUUACCUGCGGAGGGAUCAUUGCUGGAACGCGCCCCAGGCGCACCCAGAAACCCUUUGUGAACUCAUACCUUACUGUUGCCUCGGCGCAGGCCGGCCCCCCCGGGGGCCCCUCGGAGACGAGGAGCAGGCCCGCCGGUGGUCAUAAACUCUUGUUUUUACACCGAAACUCUGAGUACAAAACACAAAUGAAUCAAAACUUUUAGCAAUGGAUCUCAGA